Molecule: ribosomal RNA, 305 nt
Filed under: uncultured bacterium
Lineage: Bacteria
Description: bacterial SSU rRNA
Rfam family: Bacterial small subunit ribosomal RNA
Source: RNAcentral
CCCGCCUACGGGGCGCAGCAGUGGGGAAUAUUGCACAAUGGGGGAAACCCUGAUGCAGCGACGCCGCGUGAGUGAAGAAGUAUCUCGGUACGUAAAGCUCUAUCAGCAGGGAAGAAAAUGACGGUACCUGACCAAGAAGCCCCGGCUAACUACGUGCCAGCAGCCGCGGUAAUACGUAGGGGGCAAGCGUUAUCCGGAUUUACUGGGUGUAAAGGGGGCGCAGACGGCGAUGCAAGCCAGGAGGGAAAGCCCGGGGCCCACCCCCGGGUCUGCUCUUGGAACUGCGUGGCGAGAGCGCAGGAGGG